This 254-nucleotide ribosomal RNA is filed under the name uncultured bacterium. RNAcentral describes it as "partial 16S ribosomal RNA". It matches the Rfam family "Bacterial small subunit ribosomal RNA", at positions 524 to 776 of the family's 1533-position model. The record is from RNAcentral.
UACGUAGGGUGCGAGCGUUGUCCGGAAUUAUUGGGCGUAAAGAGCUCGUAGGCGGUCUGUCGCGUCGAUCGUGAAAACUUGGGGCUUAACCCUGAGCUUGCGGUCGAUACGGGCAUGACUGGAGUUCGGCAGGGGAGACUGGAAUUCCUGGUGUAGCGGUGAAAUGCGCAGAUAUCAGGAGGAACACCGGUGGCGAAGGCGGGUCUCUGGACAGUUCCUGACGCUGAGGCACGAAGGCCAGGGGAGCAAACGGG